GACGAACCGUGCGAACGUUGUUCGGAAUCACUGGGCUUAAAGGGCGCGUAGGCGGGCUACCAAGUCUGUGGUGAAAUCCUCCGGCUCAACCGGAGAACGGCCGUGGAUACUGGGAGCCUCGAGGGAGAUAGGGGCAGGCGGAACUGAUGGUGGAGCGGUGAAAUGCGUUGAUAUCAUCAGGAACUCCGGUGGCGAAGGCGGCCUGCUGGAUCUCAUCUGACGCUGAUGCGCGAAAGCCAGGGGAGCAAACGGG
RNAcentral lists this ribosomal RNA (253 nucleotides) under uncultured bacterium. RNAcentral describes it as "partial 16S ribosomal RNA". It matches the Rfam family "Bacterial small subunit ribosomal RNA", at positions 524 to 776 of the family's 1533-position model. RNAcentral also lists the same sequence under 1 other name. The record is from RNAcentral.